GACGAACGCUGGCGGCGUGCUUAACACAUGCAAGUCGAACGGAAAGGCCUGCUUUCCCUUGUGGAUUGCGGGUACUCGAGUGGCGAACGGGUGAGUAACACGUGAGUUAUCUGCCCCCAACUUGUGUAUAAGCCUGGGAAACUGGGUCUAAUUCCCGAUAGGACUGCAGGGUGGUGCCUGUGGUGGAAAACGAUGUUCUAGUGGUUGGGGAUGAGCUCGCGGCCUAUCAGCUUGUUGGUGGGGUAAUGGCCUACCAAGGCGGCGACGGGAAGCCGGCCUGGGAGGGUGGGCGGCCACAUUGGGACUGAGAUACGGGCAAGAAUCCUACGGGAGGCAGCAGUGGGGAAUAUUGCACAAGGGGUGGAAGCCUAAGGGAGGGACGCCGCGUGGGCGAUGACGGCCGUCGGGUUGUAACCUUCUUGUGACAGCGAGGAAGCCACCUGGUUGGAAGGGUGGUGACGGUAGUGGGAGAAGAAGCACCGGCUAACUACGUG
RNAcentral lists this ribosomal RNA (494 nucleotides) under uncultured bacterium. RNAcentral's name for it is "partial 16S ribosomal RNA". It matches the Rfam family "Bacterial small subunit ribosomal RNA", at positions 28 to 507 of the family's 1533-position model. The record is from RNAcentral.